UACGGAGGGAGCUAGCGUUGUUCGGAAUUACUGGGCGUAAAGCGCAUGUAGGCGGCUUUGUGAGUUAGAGGUGAAAGCCCGGGGCUCAACCCCGGAAUUGCCUUUAAGACUGCAUCGCUUGAAUCCAGGAGAGGUGAGUGGAAUUCCGAGUGUAGAGGUGAAAUUCGUAGAUAUUCGGAAGAACACCAGUGGCGAAGGCGGCUCACUGGACUGGUAUUGACGCUGAGGUGCGAAAGCGUGGGGAGCAAACAGG
This 253-nucleotide ribosomal RNA is filed under the name uncultured bacterium. Its description in RNAcentral is "partial 16S ribosomal RNA". It matches the Rfam family "Bacterial small subunit ribosomal RNA", at positions 524 to 776 of the family's 1533-position model. The record is from RNAcentral.